Molecule: ribosomal RNA, 242 nt
Filed under: Cryptorhynchus lapathi (poplar-and-willow borer)
Lineage: Eukaryota; Metazoa; Arthropoda; Insecta; Coleoptera; Curculionidae
Description: partial 16S ribosomal RNA
Rfam family: Bacterial large subunit ribosomal RNA (bases 86-242)
Source: RNAcentral
AAUUAAAUAAACUUUUUUUUUAUAAAAACAUUGAUUUAUGAGUAAUUGAUCCUUAAUUUUGAUUAUAAGAGUAAAUUACCUUAGGGAUAACAGCGUAAUUUUUUUUUARAGAUCUAAUCGAAAAAAAAGGUUGCGACCUCGAUGUUGGAUUAAAAUAUAGGGCUGGUGUAGGASCUASCCUUUUAGGUCUGUUCRACCUUUAAAAUUUUACAUGAUCUGAKUUUAAACCGGUGUAASCCAGG